Long non-coding RNA from Rosa chinensis, 650 nucleotides. RefSeq lists it as uncharacterized. The transcript has 3 exons. NCBI's taxonomy places the organism in Eukaryota, Viridiplantae, Streptophyta, Magnoliopsida, Rosales, Rosaceae. The record is from RefSeq and is a predicted model, not a curated record.
CUUACUCCCUCAGACAACUUUAGCCUUCCCUCAACCCCAUAUCUCCUUUUUCAACCAAUGCAAUUGAGCUUUAAUUAGAAAAACAAGAGAUCGAUCAACAAACGCAAUUUGAAGCGGUUGAGGUCAUCAAUAGCAGAGUUCACCCGUCCUCGGCCUCCACCAGAGCUCAGGAUCCAUGGACCAAAUCUAUCCUAUGUCACUCUCUCUAGUUCUUUAUCUUUCAAUUUCCAACUAGUUCCUCUCGAAAUGGAUUAAUGGGUAUUGUAAACUCUGUGAUAUUGAUGAGGCUUGGUUGGUGAUGAACCAGAUAAGUGUAGGAUGGUAUAGAAGGAACCCAAAGCUUUGAGCUUUAUUCUUCACGUCUGGACUAAUCUCGUCUCUUAAAAAGGGUGAAAUUCUGAAUCUUUCAGCUUAGAAAGAGGUGUAAGGCUGGUAAUUUGGAGGUUAAGCAAGUUUCAGGGACACAGCUGUUGUACAGGAUUUGCGGAUCGGGACGGUCUAGUGGGUCUGCUGGGUUUGAAGAGAAAAUGGACUUUGCUUUUGACAAGUUAGAGAGUGGGAUCAAGAAUGGUAGUGUUUUGUUCUAUACUGGGAGCUAUGAGUCGGUUUAUAUAUUGGGCCAAUGUGAGGGUGAUUUGAGCAACAAUGAU